UGGGACUCUGUGAGCGGCGGACGGGUUAGUAACGCGUGGGAACAUACCCUUUUCUGCGGAAUAGCCUCUGGAAACGGAGAGUAAUACCGCAUACGCCCUUCGGGGGAAAGAUUUAUCGGUGAAGGAUUGGCCCGCGUUAGAUUAGAUAGUUGGUGGGGUAACGGCCUACCAAGUCUACGAUCUAUAGCUGGUUUUAGAGGACGAUCAGCAACACUGGGACUGAGACACGGCCCAGACUCCUACGGGAGGCAGCAGUGGGGAAUCUUAGACAAUGGGCGAAAGCCUGAUCUAGCCAUGCCGCGUGAGUGAUGAAGGCCUUAGGGUCGUAAAGCUCUUUCGCCAGGGAUGAUAAUGACAGUACCUGGUAAAGAAACCCCGGCUAACUCCGUGCCAGCAGCCGCGGUAAUACGGAGGGGGUUAGCGUUGUUCGGAAUUACUGGGCGUAAAGCGCGCGUAGGCGGAUUGGAAAGUUGGGGGUGAAAUCCCGGGGCUCAACCCCGGAACUGCCUCCAAAACUAUCAGUCUAGAGUUCGAGAGAGGUGAGUGGAAUUCCAAGUGUAGAGGUGAAAUUCGUAGAUAUUUGGAGGAACACCAGUGGCGAAGGCGGCUCACUGGCUCGAUACUGACGCUGAGGUGCGAAAGUGUGGGG
Molecule: ribosomal RNA, 649 nt
Filed under: uncultured bacterium
Lineage: Bacteria
Description: bacterial SSU rRNA
Rfam family: Bacterial small subunit ribosomal RNA
Source: RNAcentral